This 759-nucleotide ribosomal RNA is filed under the name uncultured Neisseriaceae bacterium. RNAcentral describes it as "bacterial SSU rRNA". It matches the Rfam family "Bacterial small subunit ribosomal RNA", at positions 28 to 776 of the family's 1533-position model. Lineage: Bacteria; Pseudomonadati; Pseudomonadota; Betaproteobacteria; Neisseriales; Neisseriaceae. The record is from RNAcentral.
AUUGAACGCUGGCGGCAUGCUUUACACAUGCAAGUCGGACGGCAGCAUAGAAGAGCUUGCUCUUUUGAUGGCGAGUGGCGAACGGGUGAGUAAUGCAUCGGAACGUACCGAGUAGUGGGGGAUAACUGUCCGAAAGGAUGGCUAAUACCGCAUAUUCUCUGAGGAGGAAAGCAGGGGACCUUAGGGCCUUGCGCUAUUUGAGCGGCCGAUGUCUGAUUAGCUAGUUGGUGGGGUAAGAGCCCACCAAGGCGACGAUCAGUAGCGGGUCUGAGAGGAUGAUCCGCCACACUGGGACUGAGACACGGCCCAGACUCCUACGGGAGGCAGCAGUGGGGAAUUUUGGACAAUGGGCGCAAGCCUGAUCCAGCCAUGCCGCGUGUAUGAAGAAGGCCUUCGGGUUGUAAAGUACUUUUGUCGGGGAAGAAAAGCCUGGGGAUAACACCCUCAGGUCAUGACGGUACCUGAAGAAUAAGCACCGGCUAACUACGUGCCAGCAGCCGCGGUAAUACGUAGGGUGCGAGCGUUAAUCGGAAUUACUGGGCGUAAAGCGAGCGCAGACGGUUAUUUAAGCAAGAUGUGAAAGCCCCGGGCUCAACCUGGGAACUGCGUUUUGAACUGGGUAACUAGAGUGUGUCAGAGGGGGGUAGAAUUCCACGUGUAGCAGUGAAAUGCGUAGAGAUGCGGAGGAAUACCGAUGGCGAAGGCAGCCCCCUGGGAUAACACUGACGUUCAUGCUCGAAAGCGUGGGUAGCAAACAGG